CAGCAGCCACGGGAAUACGUAGGGUGAGAGCGUUAAUCGGAAUUACUGGGCGUAAAGCGUGCGCAGGCGGUUGUGUAAGACAGGUGUGGAAUCCCCGGGCUUAACCUGGGAACUGCGCUUGUGACUGCACAGCUAGAGUAUGGCAGAGGGGGGUGGAAUUCCACGUGUAGCAGUGAAAUACGUAGAGAUGUGGAGGAACACCGAUGGCGUAGGCAGCCCCCUGGGCCAAUACUGACGCUCAUGCACGAAAGCGUGGGGAGCAAACAGGAUUAGAUACCCCCGUAGUCCCUGUCUCUUAUAC
RNAcentral lists this ribosomal RNA (301 nucleotides) under uncultured bacterium. Its description in RNAcentral is "partial 16S ribosomal RNA". It matches the Rfam family "Bacterial small subunit ribosomal RNA", at positions 509 to 807 of the family's 1533-position model. The record is from RNAcentral.